GAGGGUAUUUAUUACCCUCCUGCUCCGGAUGGACAAAUCCAUUCUUAAGGCAGCCAGGCCCUCCUGGCCUAAAAAGCCUGCGGCAGCAGCAGCUUCAGGCAACUUCGUGCCUUGGCAGAGGUGAGGAAUGAGGCUGCAAUCUACGUGGAAGGCUUUACCAUCUUCUCAUGCCCUGCUGCCUGCCUCGCACCACUCCCCGUGGCCGUGUUCCCGAGCACCCAUCACUUCCUUUGCCUUAUUCAUCUCGUCAUCCAUUCAUUCUACAUUCCAGGAGAAUCUGUACUUUCUGGCUUGGAUGCCAGAGAAGCCUAGAAGCAAUGGCAGCUUGAUAGCAGUGAUUAUCCUGAGGCGUAGCGUGUGAGCUCUAAACACCAUCUCCUACCGGAGGAUCAAGAGAUUCCUGAAGAGAUGGCUGAUUUCAGGCCUGGGCCAAGAAAUGCACAAGAUAAGCCUGGGAAUCUUGAAGGACCGGAAUGUUGAGGGUCUACAAAGACCACUAAGAACUGGACAAAAAGUUUCAGAAUCCACAUGAAGAGGUCAGAAACGGGACAAUUUUAGCAUCACAUCAAACUAAUGAAACAAGUUAAAUAUAUAAAUAGCCAGAAGCUCCAAAAACUGGUAGACAACACUUAAUUAGUCACUGUGACUAGUUGCUGGGGCACCAGCUCACCUUUCUGGCCACUGAGAAAGGGAAAUAAUCAAUAUUUAUGCCAUUUUUUGUUUGUAUGAGGCAUAUUUCAUUAACUACAAACAGUUGAAGUAAUUUCUUUUCUAACUGGAACAUUCCAGAUAUUAAACUCAGGAGUGAUAGAA
Molecule: long non-coding RNA, 813 nt
Organism: Capra hircus (goat)
Lineage: Eukaryota; Metazoa; Chordata; Mammalia; Artiodactyla; Bovidae
Exons: 2
Source: RefSeq, a predicted model, not a curated record